Molecule: ribosomal RNA, 253 nt
Filed under: uncultured bacterium
Lineage: Bacteria
Description: partial 16S ribosomal RNA
Rfam family: Bacterial small subunit ribosomal RNA
Source: RNAcentral
CACGUAGGGUGCGAGCGUUGUCCGGAAUUACUGGGCGUAAAGGGCUCGUAGGUGGCCAACUAAGUCAGACGUGAAAUCCCUCGGCUUAACCGGGGAACUGCGUCUGAUACUGGAGGGCUUGAGUUCGGGAGAGGGAUGCGGAAUUCCAGGUGUAGCGGUGAAAUGCGUAGAUAUCUGGAGGAACACCGGUGGCGAAGGCGGCACCCUGGGCCGACACUGACGCUGAGGAGCGAAAGCGUGGGGAGCAAACGGG